This is a long non-coding RNA of Portunus trituberculatus (swimming crab), 2756 nucleotides long. RefSeq lists it as uncharacterized. The transcript has 3 exons. NCBI's taxonomy places the organism in Eukaryota, Metazoa, Arthropoda, Malacostraca, Decapoda, Portunidae. The record is from RefSeq and is a predicted model, not a curated record.
CUGAGCUUGCUGGGCAGUGAAAGAUAGAAAUGAUGACACGAUGAGAAGUAACCUAGAGAGAGAGAGAGAGAGAUAGGGUAGGGGUGACAGUAUUAAUUUAGUAGUGAUAUGAGUGUGGGAUAUCAUUAUAAUUCCCAAAAAACCUGAUUUGAAUGUGGCGGGAGAAUGGCGCGCACUGUCUGUCUGCGCUAAAACGGACAACAGCAAACUGGACGGCGGCAGCGUGGGGCGGUGUCACUGUGACGGUAGGACGUGGGAUUGGUCGUGUUGUGUGGGUGGCCUGUGGGUUCCUGCCUUCCCGCCCACUUGUGACAGCUGCAGGAUGUUGACAGGCUUGAUAGCUGCGCAGGAGGGAGGAGACUUGGGAACACUGACAAAAUGAACAGUGUGAACAAGAACAAGAACAGCACAGAGUCAGCAUCUCAACGCAGCCUAUUACCUUUCAUGUGACUUGUGGUGCCUGACAGGAUGAUUGUAGAUCCCUGCAUCACCUCUACCUUCAUCACCAUCUGAAUGUCAAGAAGAAACAACAAGGGCAGUGAACAAGGUGAAGAAAAAUGUGUUGGCCAGUCAGUUUUGUUGCUUCACAUGUCACUGCUACCACCGUCACCAUUAAGAAGAGUGAGGGGGCCAGUGGUGCACCUCUGUGUGUCACCACUACCAUCACCAAGGAGGAUGUGCAGGCCAGUCUUGUAGCUGUAGUCACUAUGGGACAGCUGGCAUGAACACUGCACUGUAAUUUUAUUGUUCGUCAUUACAGGAGGAAAUAUACUAACCCCUUCAGUACCGGGAUGCAUUUUCAUAUUUAUUCUACUUACUAUUUGGCAAUUUUAUCAGCUUCAGAAACUUAUGUAGGGAUUGAAAUAGUGAAGACUGGCUAUUAAUCUUCUGACCUCCAUGGACCCUUCCUAAUGUAAACAAAAUAGUUUGAUCACACUUAACAAUUCAUGAUAAAAAUGCAUCCCAGUACUGAAGGGAUUAAUGGUGUGGAUAAGUUGACAGGCUGCUAUUAACACCACUUUUAUAUUAUUGAGUAACUUGGGAUUAUAUUCUGAAACAUUUCCACACUGCACCUCUACCAUGUUCAAAAGCUGUUAGGUAUUUGAUGGUACAGACAGGGUGCUAGCUAUUCACACUAACCAGCCUUUGAAACCUGCUUUAGGAACUUCUAAUUGUAGUAGUAGUUUGAAGUAGUACUAGUCUAGAUGGUGUAGUGUAUUCUCUUCAAUUGGCACCCUUUGAGUGGUGAUAUUCCUGGCUAGGUUGGUAAGGGUGGUGUUGUGUGGCUGGGUUCCUCUCUGGCUCUCUCUUGCACAGGCAAGCAAGACCAUUUCAUCCCCUCGGCCACAUGUUGCUGCAUUGCCUCACCUCACCUCUUCACAAGUCUGACCACCUUUAGUCAUGUUUGGUGGUAGAGUUAGUGCUCACUUCCUCUGUCUCAAGGCCUCUAUUGAGGUGGCAUUCUGUCAGGGUUUGUAAGAUUGUCAACUGAUCAGAGGACUCAAGGUGGGAGUGGAAGUGAGUACAGAUUUCUGCUACUGACCAUGGCUGUUCAAAGGCGAGGUUAAUACAAAUGCAGUAAUACAGACACAUGUGGCCAAGAGCAUGAAUGGAAAAAGGUCUUGCUUUCCUGUAAGGGAGAGAGCCAGAGAGGAACCCAGCCAUUCAGCAGCCUCCUAGACUUAGCCAGGAAUCACACCAUUUAAGGGGGAGUCCUUUACUUGAAGAGAAUGUACUACGGAACACAUAGGGGAGGGAAUCAAGAGAAGUUUCAUGAAAACCAAUGAAAGGAACCUGAGAGGUGUAUGCAGGAUGUCAAGAAAAUGUAUACAGUAGUACUUUUUUUUUAUUUUAUUGAACCAUCAUCUACAUCUCUUAUUCCCUUAUUCCCCACAACUCAUUGCUAUCUCUGCAGUUGUGUCCUCUUUCAGUGCUAGAUGUCUCCUGUCCUUCCCCACCUGCAGCUUAGCGUCUUUUCUUCUCCUCCCCCACCCAGCCCCAACCUCCAAAUUCUCCAGUGCCUGCCUCACAUCCCCCCCUCUGGUGAGGAAGGCUGUGGUGGCCUGCACAGUGGUGCAUGGCAGAGCACUGUAGUCACCAGACAGGGAACAGGCUGAUCCUCCACCACCUAAGUGGAGGCAGGAGCCCAUACAAGUCCUGGUGGCUGCACUGCCCUACCAUGCACCACGAGGUCAGAUCACACCAGCCUUGCCUCCCCAGGGGGUGUAGAGCAGUGGUACUUGGAGGCCAGGGCAAGGAGGGACUCCAUUGUCUUCAUCUUCAGGGCUCCACCACAUCACUGCAAGAUAGAAAUUCAGCUCAGAAAUCUAUAAAUUUAAAUAGUUAAAUUUGUGUUCUGUAUUUUUAAAUAUACCUAUUUUGGAUGAAAUAUUACUGACUGAGGAACUGUCACAAGGUGAUGGUCCUUCCUGCUGACUGAUUUAACCUCCUUUCUCUCAGAAUUGAUGAUUGCAAACAGUAUAUUAUCAAAAACUAUUUAAAUAAAGGACACAUGUUUCAAAGUGUUAUUUUUUGGUACCUUUCAAUGACGUUCCUACUGCAGGUUUACCCUGAUCAGAAUGACACCCUGCAGGGCUUUACAUCUGAAUCUUAAAAUGGACAAACCCUCACAGCCUUUGUUUCCCACAUGCUGAACCAACACUGUCCUGAUGAAGUCCCUGAUACAUCUGAUCCUUUUCCUCAUCAACUAUGCCCUCCCUCAGCAACACUGUUGAAUACUAGUCCUAACUGAUAAA